CUGUAGCAUGGGCGCAGCUGAUCAGCCAUGCCGCGUGAGUGAUGAAGGCCCUAGGGUUGUAAAGCUCUUUCUCCAGGGAAGAUAAUGACAGUAUCUGGUAAAGAAACCCCGGCUAACUCCGUG
This 123-nucleotide ribosomal RNA is filed under the name uncultured Maritimibacter sp. Its description in RNAcentral is "partial 16S ribosomal RNA". It matches the Rfam family "Bacterial small subunit ribosomal RNA", at positions 364 to 507 of the family's 1533-position model. Lineage: Bacteria; Pseudomonadati; Pseudomonadota; Alphaproteobacteria; Rhodobacterales; Roseobacteraceae. The record is from RNAcentral.